This 1552-nucleotide ribosomal RNA is filed under the name Staphylococcus aureus. Its description in RNAcentral is "16S ribosomal RNA". It matches the Rfam family "Bacterial small subunit ribosomal RNA". The record is from RNAcentral. Lineage: Bacteria; Bacillati; Bacillota; Bacilli; Caryophanales; Staphylococcaceae.
UUUAUGGAGAGUUUGAUCCUGGCUCAGGAUGAACGCUGGCGGCGUGCCUAAUACAUGCAAGUCGAGCGAACGGACGAGAAGCUUGCUUCUCUGAUGUUAGCGGCGGACGGGUGAGUAACACGUGGAUAACCUACCUAUAAGACUGGGAUAACUUCGGGAAACCGGAGCUAAUACCGGAUAAUAUUUUGAACCGCAUGGUUCAAAAUUGAAAGACGGUCUUGCUGUCACUUAUAGAUGGAUCCGCGCUGCAUUAGCUAGUUGGUAAGGUAACGGCUUACCAAGGCAACGAUGCAUAGCCGACCUGAGAGGGUGAUCGGCCACACUGGAACUGAGACACGGUCCAGACUCCUACGGGAGGCAGCAGUAGGGAAUCUUCCGCAAUGGGCGAAAGCCUGACGGAGCAACGCCGCGUGAGUGAUGAAGGUCUUCGGAUCGUAAAACUCUGUUAUUAGGGAAGAACAUAUGUGUAAGUAACUGUGCACAUCUUGACGGUACCUAAUCAGAAAGCCACGGCUAACUACGUGCCAGCAGCCGCGGUAAUACGUAGGUGGCAAGCGUUAUCCGGAAUUAUUGGGCGUAAAGCGCGCGUAGGCGGUUUUUUAAGUCUGAUGUGAAAGCCCACGGCUCAACCGUGGAGGGUCAUUGGAAACUGGAAAACUUGAGUGCAGAAGAGGAAAGUGGAAUUCCAUGUGUAGCGGUGAAAUGCGCAGAGAUAUGGAGGAACACCAGUGGCGAAGGCGACUUUCUGGUCUGUAACUGACGCUGAUGUGCGAAAGCGUGGGGAUCAAACAGGAUUAGAUACCCUGGUAGUCCACGCCGUAAACGAUGAGUGCUAAGUGUUAGGGGGUUUCCGCCCCUUAGUGCUGCAGCUAACGCAUUAAGCACUCCGCCUGGGGAGUACGACCGCAAGGUUGAAACUCAAAGGAAUUGACGGGGACCCGCACAAGCGGUGGAGCAUGUGGUUUAAUUCGAAGCAACGCGAAGAACCUUACCAAAUCUUGACAUCCUUUGACAACUCUAGAGAUAGAGCCUUCCCCUUCGGGGGACAAAGUGACAGGUGGUGCAUGGUUGUCGUCAGCUCGUGUCGUGAGAUGUUGGGUUAAGUCCCGCAACGAGCGCAACCCUUAAGCUUAGUUGCCAUCAUUAAGUUGGGCACUCUAAGUUGACUGCCGGUGACAAACCGGAGGAAGGUGGGGAUGACGUCAAAUCAUCAUGCCCCUUAUGAUUUGGGCUACACACGUGCUACAAUGGACAAUACAAAGGGCAGCGAAACCGCGAGGUCAAGCAAAUCCCAUAAAGUUGUUCUCAGUUCGGAUUGUAGUCUGCAACUCGACUACAUGAAGCUGGAAUCGCUAGUAAUCGUAGAUCAGCAUGCUACGGUGAAUACGUUCCCGGGUCUUGUACACACCGCCCGUCACACCACGAGAGUUUGUAACACCCGAAGCCGGUGGAGUAACCUUUUAGGAGCUAGCCGUCGAAGGUGGGACAAAUGAUUGGGGUGAAGUCGUAACAAGGUAGCCGUAUCGGAAGGUGCGGCUGGAUCACCUCCUUU